Molecule: ribosomal RNA, 1512 nt
Filed under: Triticum aestivum (bread wheat)
Lineage: Eukaryota; Viridiplantae; Streptophyta; Magnoliopsida; Poales; Poaceae
Description: partial small subunit ribosomal RNA
Source: RNAcentral
AUGGCUUCUUGUGCUGGCGGUGGUGACGAGCCGCUGACGGAGGCGCUGCUAGCGAGGGCGGGCAGCGGCGACAAGGAUGACCUGGAGGAGAUCCACAGCGUGUCGGCGUUCCUACGGUGCGCGGCGGAGGAGAACCGGCGGCUGUGGCACCUGGCCGGGCCGGCCAUCUUCACGUCGCUGGCGCAGUACUCGCUGGGCGCCAUCACGCAGGUCGCCGCCGGCCACCUCACCACGCUCGAGCUGGACGCCGUCUCCACCGAGAACUCCGUCGUCGCCGGCCUCGCCUUCGGGAUCAUGUACGGCAUGGGGAGCGCGCUGGAGACGCUGUGCGGGCAGGCCUACGGCGCCAAGAAGCUCCCCAUGCUCGGCGUCUACCUGCAGCGCUCCUGGCUGCUGCUCACCGCCACGGCCGUCUGCAUGCUCCCGCUCUACCUCUUCGCCACCCCGAUCCUGAGGUUCUUCCACCAGGACGACCAGAUCGCCGUCAUGGCCGGGCGGUUCUCGCUCUACAUGAUCCCGCAGCUCUUCGCCUACGCGCUCAACUUCCCCAUCCAGAAGUUCCUGCAGGCGCAGAGCAAGCUGGUGGCCAUGGCGGCGGUGUCCGCGGCGGCGCUGGUGUUCCACGUCGCGCUCACCUGGUUCCUCGUGGUGCCCAUGCGGAUGGACCUCGUUGGCCUCGCCGUCGCGCUUAACGCGUCGUGGUGGUUCGUCGUGCUCGGCCAGCUCGCCUACAUCGUCAUGGGUUACUGCCCCGGCGCCUGGAACGGCUUCCAGUUCGACUCCCUCGCCUUCACCGAGCUCUUCAGCUUCGCCCGCCUCUCCAUCGGCUCAGCAAUCAUGAUCUGCUUGGAGUUCUGGUUCUACAUGUUCCUUAUUGUGAUCGUGGGCAAUCUUCCCAACGCUCAGGUUGCCGUCGCCGCAGUCUCCAUCUGCACCAACCUGUUCGGGUGGCAGAUCAUGGUGUUCUUCGGAUUCAAUGCAGCCAUCAGCGUGAGGGUGUCGAACGAGCUGGGCGCGGGGCGGCCGCGGGCGGCGAGGUUCGCGAUCGCGGUGGUGCUCAUGUCGUCCGUGGCCAUCGGAGUGGCCUUCUUCGUGGCCGUGCUGCUCCUCCGGGACGUCUACGGCGCGCCCUUCACGGAGCCCGAGGUGGUGCACGCCGUGGCCAGCCUGGGCGUGGUCUUCGCCUUCACGCUCCUGCUCAACAGCGUCCAGCCCGUGCUGUCCGGCGUGGCCGUCGGGGCCGGGUGGCAGUGGCUGGUGGCGUACAUCAACCUCGGGUGCUACUACGGGGUCGGCAUCCCGGUCGGGUACAUGAUCGCCUUCCCGCUGCGCCGCGGGAUUCAGGGGAUGUGGGGCGGCAUGCUCACCGGGGUGGGCCUGCAGACCGUGAUCCUGAUCGCGAUCACGAUGCGCACCAACUGGAACAAGGAGGCAAGGGAGGCGAGCUCCAGGAUACGGCAGUGGGGUGGUGGUGGUGAUGGUGCAUCGCCCAGGAUCCCGGACAGCUUCUAG